GACGAACGCUGGCGGCGUGCUUAACACAUGCAAGUCGAACGGAAAGGCACUGCUUUUGUGGGGUGCUCGAGUGGCGAACGGGUGAGUAACACGUGAGUAACCUGCCCUUGACUUUGGGAUAACUUCAGGAAACUGGGGCUAAUACCGGAUAGGAGCUCCUGCUGCAUGGUGGGGGUUGGAAAGUUUCGGCGGUUGGGGAUGGACUCGCGGCUUAUCAGCUUGUUGGUGGGGUAGUGGCUUACCAAGGCUUUGACGGGUAGCCGGCCUGAGAGGGUGACCGGCCACAUUGGGACUGAGAUACGGCCCAGACUCCUACGUGAGGCAGCAGUGGGGAAUAUUGCACAAUGGGCGGAAGCGUGAUGCAGCAACGCCGCGUGCGGGAUGACGGCCUUCGGGUUAUAAACCGCUUUCGCCUGUGACGAAGCGUGAGUGACGGUAAUGGGUAAAGAAGCACCGGCUAACUACGUG
Molecule: ribosomal RNA, 468 nt
Filed under: uncultured bacterium
Lineage: Bacteria
Description: partial 16S ribosomal RNA
Rfam family: Bacterial small subunit ribosomal RNA
Source: RNAcentral